UACAGAGGUCCCAAGCGUUGUCCGGAUUUAUUGGGCGUAAAGCGCGUGUAGGCGGCCAUACAGGUCCGUUGUGAAAACUCGAGGCUUAACCUCGAGACGUCGAUGGAAACCGUAUGGCUAGAGUCCGGAAGAGGAGAGUGGAAUUCCUGGUGUAGCGGUGAAAUGCGCAGAUAUCAGGAAGAACACCAAUGGCGAAGGCAGCUCUCUGGGACGGUACUGACGCUGAGACGCGAAAGCGUGGGGAGCGAACAGG
This 253-nucleotide ribosomal RNA is filed under the name uncultured bacterium. RNAcentral's name for it is "partial 16S ribosomal RNA". It matches the Rfam family "Bacterial small subunit ribosomal RNA", at positions 524 to 776 of the family's 1533-position model. The record is from RNAcentral.